RNAcentral lists this ribosomal RNA (465 nucleotides) under uncultured bacterium. RNAcentral's name for it is "partial 16S ribosomal RNA". It matches the Rfam family "Bacterial small subunit ribosomal RNA", at positions 38 to 507 of the family's 1533-position model. The record is from RNAcentral.
GGGGGGGGGGGGGGGGGGGCGUGGGGGAGGCGUGUCGGGCGGAGCGGGCCCGGUGGGGGUACUGGGGUGGCGAGUGGGUGAGUGACACGUGAGUACCGUGCGCUUGACUUCGGGAGAACUUCAGUAAACUGGUGCGAAUCCCGGGUAGGACUCCUUGCUGCAUUGUUUGUUUUGGAGAGCUUCGGCGGUUUUGGAUUGUAUCUCGGCUUAUCAGCUUGUUUGUGGGGUAGUGGCUUACCAAGUCUUUGAAGGGUAGCCGGCAUGAGAGGGCGAGCGGCCACAUUGGGACUGAGAUACGGCCCAGACUCCUACGGGAGGCAGCAGGGGGGAAUAUGGCACAAUGGGCGGAAGCCUGAUGCAGCAACGCCGCGUGCGGGAUGACGGCCUUCGGGUUGUAAACCGCUUUCAGCAGGGGCGAAGCUUGUGGUGACGGUACCUGCAGAAGAAGCACCGGCUAACUACGUG